GAUGAACGCUGGCGGCGUGCCUAAUACAUGCAAGUCGAGCGAACGGACGAGAAGCUUGCUUCUCUGAUGUUAGCGGCGGACGGGUGAGUAACACGUGUAUAACCUACCUAUAAGACUGGGAUAACUUCGGGAAACCGGAGCUAAUACCGGAUGAUAUUUUGAACCGCAUGGUUCAAAAGUGAAAGACGGUCUUGCUGUCACUUCUAGAUGGAUCCGCGCUGCAUUAGCUAGUUGUUAAGGUAACGGCUUACCAAGGCAACGAUGCAUAGCCGACCUGAGAGGGUGAUAGGCCACACUGGAACUGAGACACGGUCCAGACUCCUACGGGAGGCAGCAGUAGGGAAUCUUCCGCAAUGGGCGAAAGCCUGACGGAGCAACGCCGCGUGAGUGAUGAAGGUCUUCGGAUCGUAAAACUCUGUUAUUAGGGAAGAACAGAUGUGUAAGUAACUGUGCACAGAUUGACGGUACCUAAUCAGAAAGCCACGGCUAACUACGUG
RNAcentral lists this ribosomal RNA (497 nucleotides) under uncultured bacterium. RNAcentral describes it as "partial 16S ribosomal RNA". It matches the Rfam family "Bacterial small subunit ribosomal RNA", at positions 28 to 507 of the family's 1533-position model. The record is from RNAcentral.